Molecule: ribosomal RNA, 253 nt
Filed under: uncultured bacterium
Lineage: Bacteria
Description: partial 16S ribosomal RNA
Rfam family: Bacterial small subunit ribosomal RNA
Source: RNAcentral
GGCAGAGGUGCCAAGCGUUAGGCGGAAUCACUGGGCUUAAAGGGUGCGUAGGUGGCGCUGUAAGUCGGGUGUGAAAUUUCGGAGCUUAACUCCGAAACUGCAUUCGAUACUGCGGUGCUUGAGGACUGGAGAGGAGACUGGAAUUCAUGGUGUAGCAGUGAAAUGCGUAGAGAUCAUGAGGAAGACCAGUGGCGAAGGCGGGUCUCUGGACAGUUCCUGACGCUGAGGCACGAAGGUCAGGGGAGCAAACGGG